Nicotiana tabacum (common tobacco) is the source of this 1262-nucleotide long non-coding RNA. RefSeq lists it as uncharacterized. The record is from RefSeq and is a predicted model, not a curated record. NCBI's taxonomy places the organism in Eukaryota, Viridiplantae, Streptophyta, Magnoliopsida, Solanales, Solanaceae.
AACUGCAAAAAAAAAAAAAAAAAAAAAGCAAAUAUCAGAACAAACUUAGCCAACCAUGUCCAGUUCGUUCAGACUUGAGGGAGGGGGAAAUACCUAAGUUGCUCGGACUCGGGUGCGGGUAUCCGAUACGGGGACGGUUCCGAGUAUCGGAUUCGGCAAAAUCUAAAUUUUAAGAUUCGGGGGCGCGAAUCCGUAUAUGGAUACGGUGCAGGAUACGGCUAAGAAAAUUCAAAAUAAUAAAAAAUAGAGCUAUAGAUUUGUACAACUAGUAAAAUCUUAUAAAUAUAACUUUUUCUUCUUUAUUCUUUUUUGUUUUGCGCAAAUCAAAAAAUUGAAGCUCAAAGCACACUUAUAUUAAUAUUUGCUACAUAACGUGGUUAUAGAGGAGAAAAUGGUCAAAAAGUAUAUAAAUAUGGUCAAAAAGCUCACUUUUUUAAAAGUGUUACAGUACUUCUUUUUGUAAUUUGAUGGGAGACAGCUAAAGGCCUGAAACACUCCAUUAUGUAACCCCAUUAUCUCAUAAACAAUUGGAAAAAUAUGUGCUGUCAAUUAAAAAGUAUUCACUUCCUAAUUUGUCCCUUUCUUCUUCAUCCAUUCUCUGUUGCCUCUUCUCUUUCCAUCUCUGAGACAUUUCCCCAGCAAAACAUUUUCCAUGUCUUGUCUUUUUUUCCAGUACAAAACUCAAAACUCAUUCGAGCCCUUCCCACGAGCUCUUGAUUUUAGAAACAUACAACAAGAACAAGAAGAUUGACCAAGACAAAAAGCUUCAAAGAAGAUAAAAGGACUAGUAUAAAUUACUACAUAGCAGUGAAAUUGAAGUGUCCGAAGUUGGUUGACCGUAUCCAAGACAUUUCCCGCUCCAGCACCCGUCCAAGUCUCGUAUCGGGACGGGGACGGCACCAACAUUGAAGAGUCCGUGCAACUUAGGGAAAUACAAAGAAGCACCAGGACUAACAGGCACCAGAACAAGGAGGAUAAGGGUAGCAAAAAUUAGAGUGAGUUCAUCAUGCAUGAAUGAAUUCUCCCAGGUUCUUGUUUUUUUACAUCAACUGCUAUGAUAGGAUGGAAAAGGAGAGGUAGUGAUGUGUUGCAAAUCAGAACUCAUCUAGUUUGUGUUAUACAUAAUGUGUAAUGCCUAAAGGGAAUCCUUACUCCACCACUUGAGUGCAUAAACACUUCAAUCUGAUAUUUCAAGAUACUAUGGCUAUAUUGCACCAGGCAUGAAGUGAAAACAGAGUAUCAACUUAUUAAAAUAUUUUUUA